UGAAGAUGGUGCUAAGGGUGGGUAGGAAGGAAACAAGUACUAUCACUACAGCCGUCGGUAAGAUAGGCAUGGGAGGAUGGAGAUGGGAAAUUGCAGAGACCACCCAAUCUCCGCCCAGAGACCAACCCUUUUAUGGUUUAGCACAGUCUGAUAAGCAGAAGACACGGGCCACUGGGACCGUCCAACUUUGGAGCAUGCGCAUAAUUCUUUCCUUUGAGAAGACAAGAACCAAGGAAUUCCAUAGUCCACCACCAGGUAACACAACGAGAAGGGAGGCCUACAAGUAUUUCAGAAGCUGCUUCAGCAGCAGCUGAGUCCGAGCAGGACCAAGUGCUGGUGGAGGGGAGGCCUAACCAGUCUCCACUACAGAUGGAAUGCUGGAGAGGACAAUAAAAGGCAGAAGUGGUCAUUUGUCUUUCA
This 420-nucleotide long non-coding RNA is filed under the name Vulpes vulpes (red fox). Its description in RNAcentral is "lncRNA (ENSVVUG00000013741.1)". Lineage: Eukaryota; Metazoa; Chordata; Mammalia; Carnivora; Canidae. The record is from RNAcentral.